This 305-nucleotide long non-coding RNA is filed under the name Brassica napus (rape). Its description in RNAcentral is "long non-coding RNA (BNAP_LNC000720)". Lineage: Eukaryota; Viridiplantae; Streptophyta; Magnoliopsida; Brassicales; Brassicaceae. The record is from RNAcentral.
GUAGACUCUAGAAAUCAAUUUCGCAAACUUACUCUUGUUUUAUGGAUGUUUGGUAGACUAGCUUGAAAUCUACGAAUUUCUGUCUGUUUCCAAAAUUUUGAGCUUGUGGACUUACAUUAUGUCUCCAAAUCAUAGGUAGACUUAAGGGCUGUAUUGAAUCUGAAAUCUAAAAUGAUUUGAUUUUAGUGAGUUUUUAGAUGAUUUUAGGUGAAUAUUAUAAUUUCGUGUGAUUUUUGUUAAACAAUUCUAGAAUCUCAUGGGAUUUAGAUUUUCAUUAUUAUAACUAAGAAAUCACUCUCAAACAC